Molecule: microRNA precursor, 103 nt
Filed under: Marmota monax (woodchuck)
Lineage: Eukaryota; Metazoa; Chordata; Mammalia; Rodentia; Sciuridae
Source: RNAcentral
AGUUUGAUUGUUGGAUCAUAUGGGAGUUCUAUUUUUGAUUUUUUGAGGAACCUCCAUACUUUUUUCUAUAAAGACUAUACCAAUUUACAUUUUCCCCAACAAU